UGGCUCAGCGGUGGAGCACCUCCUUGCCAAGGAGGGGGUCGCGGGUGCGAUCCCCGU
This 57-nucleotide transfer RNA is filed under the name Clostridium sp. CAG:91. RNAcentral's name for it is "transfer RNA-Gly(GCC)". It matches the Rfam family "tRNA", at positions 8 to 63 of the family's 71-position model. From Rfam's summary of the family: Transfer RNA (tRNA) molecules are approximately 80 nucleotides in length. The record is from RNAcentral. Lineage: Bacteria; Bacillati; Bacillota; Clostridia; Eubacteriales; Clostridiaceae.